CGUACAUACUACCCUCCCCAGACCCCACUAAGUGGGAUUAUACUGGGUUGUUGUUGUUGAUGGCUAGGACUGAGCAUGACUUUCCGCAGCGUUUGUUGCUUAUCUAGUUUUGAUCUCAGGCAUAUGAAGAUCAAUCCCCAACCAUUGAUGCAACGAUGCGCUUGCAACCAAGAAGUAGUGAGAAAACUGAAAAAGAUUCUGGUGAUGCUAUUCUGACG
This 218-nucleotide long non-coding RNA is filed under the name Nicotiana benthamiana. RNAcentral's name for it is "long non-coding RNA (NBEN_LNC000567)". Lineage: Eukaryota; Viridiplantae; Streptophyta; Magnoliopsida; Solanales; Solanaceae. The record is from RNAcentral.